AGGUUUGGUCCUGGCCUUUCCAUUAGUUAUUAAUAAGAUUACACAUGCAAGCCUCCGCACCCCGGUGAAAUAUGCCCUCUAAGUCACUUAGUGACCUAAAGGAGCUGGUAUCAAGCACACAACUAUAUGUAGCUCAUAACACCUUGCU
This 148-nucleotide ribosomal RNA is filed under the name Leopardus pardalis (ocelot). RNAcentral describes it as "partial 12S ribosomal RNA". Lineage: Eukaryota; Metazoa; Chordata; Mammalia; Carnivora; Felidae. The record is from RNAcentral. RNAcentral also lists the same sequence under 1 other name.